Non-coding RNA from Ciona savignyi (Pacific transparent sea squirt), 74 nucleotides. The record is from Rfam. NCBI's taxonomy places the organism in Eukaryota, Metazoa, Chordata, Ascidiacea, Phlebobranchia, Cionidae.
GUCUCUGUGGCGCAAUUGGUUAGCGCGUUCGGGUGUUAACCGAAAGGUUGCUGGUUCAAGCCCAGCCAGGGACG